UGGGGAAUUUUGGACAAUGGGGGAAACCCUGAUCCAGCCAUCCCGCGUGUGCGAUGAAGGCCUUCGGGUUGUAAAGCACUUUUGGCAGGAAAGAAACGUCGCGGGUUAAUACCCCGCGAAACUGACGGUACCUGCAGAAUAAGCACCGGCUAACUACGUGCCAGCAGCCGCGGUAAUACGUAGGGUGCAAGCGUUAAUCGGAAUUACUGGGCGUAAAGCGUGCGCAGGCGGUUCGGAAAGAAAGAUGUGAAAUCCCGGAGCUUAACUUUGGAACUGCAUUUUUAACUACCGGGCUAGAGUGUGUCAGAGGGAGGUGGAAUUCCGCGUGUAGCAGUGAAAUGCGUAGAUAUGCGGAGGAACACCGAUGGCGAAGGCAGCCUCCUGGGAUAACACUGACGCUCAUGCACGAAAGCGUGGGGAGCAAACAGGAUUAGAUACCCUGGUAGUCCACGCCCUAAACGAUGUCAACUAGCUGUUGGGGCCUUCGGGCCUUGGUAGCGCAGCUAACGCGUGAAGUUGACCGCCUGGGGAGUACGGUCGCAAGAUUAAAACUCAAAGGAA
RNAcentral lists this ribosomal RNA (561 nucleotides) under uncultured bacterium. Its description in RNAcentral is "partial 16S ribosomal RNA". It matches the Rfam family "Bacterial small subunit ribosomal RNA", at positions 355 to 909 of the family's 1533-position model. The record is from RNAcentral.